GUCUCUCCACUAAAGGACAUUUUUCCCUUCAACUUUUCUUCCAAGAACUUCAGGUGGAGAUUAAAAAUAGCUGAUAAAUAUGACAGAGGAUUCAGUGGACUUUUGAUGAAGGGCAGGUUGACGGUAAAAAAGGUGUUGGAAGUAUGAUAUUUGCCUGAAGAGCUUAGCAUACCUGUAGCAAAAAUGGGGAAAAUCUUAAUCUUGCUAAAUAUUUGAGGCACAAAAAUGUUUCAUCAUUCAUGGCCAUUGAGUUGGAAUGCCACCAAAGAUAAUAUUUGAUCACAGAUGUAGAUCAUCGAAUUCAUUAACCCACACCUUUCCUUGGGCAGCAGCUGCACAUAAGCAAGGGAUAAGGUUUCAACUCACAUUCUUAUUGAUGUACGCAAGAUAAACUUGGCCAAGGUCCUAUGUUGUGAGGCGAGGCACUAUUUCUUAUCUUUUAAAUAUUUACGAAAGCCUAGUUUUUCAGUAAAAAAAAGGUGGCAGGUGGAGACGAAGGAGAGAAAAGGAGAAGGGUUCUUCAAUCACUGACUCAAAGAGAAACCUGGGAGAAUUUCCAGAAGCACAAUGACAGAAGAAGCCAACCCCAACCCAUAGGCCUUCCGCUUUGAUGAUGCUCCUCUGAACCUCAAUUUUCCUUCGCUUUCCUCAGCUGCCAAACAGGUCAGACCCAUCAAUUUUCCCUCUGUUUUCUCGACUUUUCUUUCCCUCAAAGCCGUGAAUGUCUACCAUUUUUAUUUUUUUUAUUCUCUCAACUCUCUGCAACAAAAAAGAGGAAAAAAUAGGAUUUUUUGGUUGUUUUGUUUGGGGUUUGUGGAGAUUGUUGAUUGCGUUGGGGUCUGGUUUAUUUGAAAGAAAUGGGAUCGAAAGAAAAGGGGAGAAGAGGGCUGUUCAAUUUUAUCGUUCCUCUCUACCAUAGGAAUGCUUGGGGGCGAGAAUUUGAGAUGAGGCUCACUUGCUUGGUUCAGAAAUUUGGGUUUGUCUUUGUACUCGUCUGGCUUCUGAUUGGGGAUUGUUGUGAUAUUGAAUAAUUUGGCAAAUGUGAUGUGGGUUUAUCUGGAA
This is a long non-coding RNA of Vitis riparia (riverbank grape), 1062 nucleotides long. RefSeq lists it as uncharacterized. The transcript has 4 exons. The record is from RefSeq and is a predicted model, not a curated record. NCBI's taxonomy places the organism in Eukaryota, Viridiplantae, Streptophyta, Magnoliopsida, Vitales, Vitaceae.